AUUGAACGCUGGCGGCAGGCUUAACACAUGCAAGUCGAGCGGAGAUGAGGUGCUUGCACCUUAUCUUAGCGGCGGACGGGUGAGUAAUGCCUAGGAAUCUGCCAUUUAGUGGGGGACAACAUUCCGAAAGGAAUGCUAAUACCGCAUACGUCCUACGGGAGAAAGCAGGGGAUCUUCGGACCUUGCGCUAAAUGAUGAGCCUAAGUCGGAUUAGCUAGUUGGUGGGGUAAAGGCCUACCAAGGCGACGAUCUGUAGCGGGUCUGAGAGGAUGAUCCGCCACACUGGGACGGAGACACGGCCCAGAAUCCUACGGGAGGCAGCAGUGGGGAAUAUUGGACAAUGGGCGGAAGCCUGAUCCAGCCAUGCCGCGUGUGUGAAGAAGGCCUUUUGGUUGUAAAGCACUUUAAGCGAGGAGGAGGCUACCUGGAUUAAUACUCUGGGAUAGUGGACGUUACUCGCAGAAUAAGCACCGGCUAACUCUGUGCCAGCCGCCGCCGUAA
This 501-nucleotide ribosomal RNA is filed under the name uncultured bacterium. Its description in RNAcentral is "partial 16S ribosomal RNA". It matches the Rfam family "Bacterial small subunit ribosomal RNA", at positions 30 to 523 of the family's 1533-position model. The record is from RNAcentral.